This 86-nucleotide transfer RNA is filed under the name candidate division MSBL1 archaeon SCGC-AAA261F19. Its description in RNAcentral is "tRNA-Leu". It matches the Rfam family "tRNA". Rfam says of the family: Transfer RNA (tRNA) molecules are approximately 80 nucleotides in length. Their secondary structure includes four short double-helical elements and three loops (D, anti-codon, and T loops). The record is from RNAcentral. Lineage: Archaea; Methanobacteriati; Methanobacteriota.
GCGGGGGUAGCCAAGAGGACAAAGGCGCAGCGUUGAGUGCGCUGUCCCACAGGGGUUCCGGGGUUCGAAUCCCCGCCCUCGCACCA